RNAcentral lists this ribosomal RNA (635 nucleotides) under Primula rugosa. RNAcentral's name for it is "eukaryotic LSU rRNA". The stretch from base 255 to 410 matches the Rfam family "5.8S ribosomal RNA". Lineage: Eukaryota; Viridiplantae; Streptophyta; Magnoliopsida; Ericales; Primulaceae. The record is from RNAcentral.
CGAAUCCUGCAAAGCAGAACGGCCCGUGAAUUUGUAUAUAAUAAUCCGGGAGUGCAUCGGAUGGGUUCUUGGCCUGUUCGGUGUUGUCCCUUGCUAGGGGUGGGCUAGUUGUCCUCUUAGGACACUAGUUCACAUUCCUAGCAGCACAAUAAACCCCGGCGCGAACUGUGCCAAGGAAAUUGAACAAAGAGAUCAUGCUUGUUGCUCCUGUUCGCGGGUUGCGACGAGUGUUGAAUCUUGCAUAACAAUAAAACGACUCUCGGCAACGGAUAUCUAGGCUCUCGCAUCGAUGAAGAACGUAGCAAAAUGCGAUACUUGGUGUGAAUUGCAGAAUCCCGUGAACCAUCGAGUUUUUGAACGCAAGUUGCGCCCGAAGCCAUUAGGCCAAGGGCACGUCUGCCUGGGCGUCUCAUAAAGCGUCGCUUGCACCACUCCCCAACGAGUAACGGUGUUUGGAGCGGAUAGUGGCUCCCCGUGUGCCUUUGUAUUAUGCGGUCGGCCUAAAAAUGAGUCUCGACAAUCAACGUCACGACAAGUGGUGGUUGUCAAACUGUUGCGUUUUGUCGUGCACGUUUCGAUUGCCAUCGGAUGACUAUUUGACCCUGAAGCUCAAUUAUAUUGGAACCUUGAUCGCG